This 89-nucleotide small nucleolar RNA is filed under the name Oryza sativa (Asian cultivated rice). RNAcentral's name for it is "Z229 small nucleolar RNA". The record is from RNAcentral. Lineage: Eukaryota; Viridiplantae; Streptophyta; Magnoliopsida; Poales; Poaceae.
CGCCGGCGAUGAGGAAGAACAUGGUUCGCUCGUCUGAACGGUGGGUUAUUUACCCACCUUGCAGAUUUUAAAAGUAGUCUGAGCCGAUG